GCUUUCAUAGUUUAAAGGUAGAACAGCUGCCUCGUAAGCAGUCAAUGACAGUUCGAUUCUGUCUGGAAGCU
Molecule: transfer RNA, 71 nt
Filed under: Enterocloster aldenensis
Lineage: Bacteria; Bacillati; Bacillota; Clostridia; Lachnospirales; Lachnospiraceae
Description: [Clostridium] aldenense tRNA-Thr
Rfam family: tRNA
About the family: Transfer RNA (tRNA) molecules are approximately 80 nucleotides in length.
Source: RNAcentral